UAGGGAAUCUUCGGCAAUGGACGAAAGUCUGACCGAGCAACGCCGCGUGAGUGAAGAAGGUUUCCGGAUCGUAAAACUCUGUUGUUAGAGAAGAACAAGGACGUUAGUAACUGAACGUCCCCUGACGGUAUCUAACCAGAAAGCCACGGCUAACUACGUGCCAGCAGCCGCGGUAAUACGUAGGUGGCAAGCGUUGUCCGGAUUUAUUGGGCGUAAAGCGAGCGCAGGCGGUUUCUUAAGUCUGAUGUGAAAGCCCCCGGCUCAACCGGGGAGGGUCAUUGGAAGCUGGGAGACUUGAGUGCAGAAGAGGAGAGUGGAAUUCCAUGUGUAGCGGUGAAAUGCGUAGAUAUAUGGAGGAACACCAGUGGCGAAGGCGGCUCUCUGGUCUGUAACUGACGCUGAGGCUCGAAAGCGUGGGGAGCAAACAGG
This 429-nucleotide ribosomal RNA is filed under the name Bacillota bacterium. RNAcentral describes it as "Firmicutes bacterium partial 16S ribosomal RNA". It matches the Rfam family "Bacterial small subunit ribosomal RNA", at positions 355 to 776 of the family's 1533-position model. Lineage: Bacteria; Bacillati; Bacillota. The record is from RNAcentral.